CCCUUAGAUGUCCGGGGCUGCACGCGCGCUACACUGUAGAAAGCAGCGUGCUUUAAAACCUUUCCUGAAAAGGAUGGGUAACCCCAGCAAAAUUCUACGUGCUUGGGAUAGAGAUUUGCAAUUUUCUCUCUUGAACGAGGAAUUCCCAGUAAGUGCGAGUCAUCAGCUCGCGUUGAUUACGUCCCUGCCCUUUGUACACACCGCCCGUCGCUACUACCGAUUGGGAAAAUUUUAGAGAGUCCUGGACUGAUGAUUGUUCGGCUUCACGGCCUUACUUUCGUCGGGAAAGAAUUCGAUAAUAUUUUUCUAGAGGAAGUAAAGUCGUAACA
This 329-nucleotide ribosomal RNA is filed under the name uncultured eukaryote. RNAcentral's name for it is "partial 18S ribosomal RNA". It matches the Rfam family "Eukaryotic small subunit ribosomal RNA", at positions 1470 to 1796 of the family's 1831-position model. The record is from RNAcentral.